Gorilla gorilla gorilla (western lowland gorilla) is the source of this 7370-nucleotide long non-coding RNA. RefSeq lists it as uncharacterized. NCBI's taxonomy places the organism in Eukaryota, Metazoa, Chordata, Mammalia, Primates, Hominidae. The record is from RefSeq and is a predicted model, not a curated record. The transcript has 4 exons.
UUAAUUUUCAUUUAGUCUGUUAUAAAAGUAGUUAUUCUCAUUUUUCCCUAUGAAGGCAUAGAGUCAGUAAAGAGAUUUAUAAUGAAGCUAUGUGGUCACUUUAAUGCAUAUCUUUGUAGCUGCCUGUAGAAGAGUUUUCUAUUGACUGUGGAAACCCCUUCAUAAGAAACAGGGUGAGGGUCACUCUAGCUGAGCUUGAGUAGUUUACUUAACCUGUCUGUUUCCAAACUGGUAAAAUGGAUUGUGGUGAAGAUUAGAGCUGAUACAGUUUAAGCACCCAGCUGCCCUCUUGCAAGUGAGGAUACUAAGAGAGGAACCCAGUCCCAACCUCUCCCCAGGGAAUAGCAGCAGGAGAGUGCUGGGUUGUAGACCAGUGUUGAGACUUGUAAAUAGUCUUUGGCACCAUAGGGCCAUGUGUAUUCACUCAUCAAAUUCAGCCGUGUGUGUGUGUGUGUGUGUGUGUGUGUGUGUGUGUGUAUGUGUGUGUGUGCGUGUUUGUGACCCUACUCUGAGCCAGGUACUGUUUCAGGUAUUAGGGAUACUGCUGUGAAUAAAACAGAGAUGCUGCCCCUGCUGAUGGAGACAAGUAAUAACUAAAGAAACAUAGAUGGAGAUCUGUGCUAUAAAGAAAGAGCAGAGAGCAGGCAUGUUGGCUCAUGCCUAUAAUCCUAGCACUUUGGGAGCCCAAAGUGAGAGGAUCACUUGAGCCUAGGAGUUCAAGACCAGCCUGGGCAACAUGGUGAGACUACGUCUCUACUUAAAAACAACAACAACAGAGUAUGGAGAUAGAGAGUGAUCAAGUGGGAGGGAAUUGUUUUGGAUAGGACUUUCAGAUCAAGUAAGGUCAGAUCAGCCUCUCAUCAGAAGACACUUGUAGCAGAGUGCUUACUAAGGAAGUGAAGGAGCUCUGAGUUUGUCAUAUGAAUAUUGGGAAAAAGAAUGUUCCAGGCAGUGAAAACAGCAUGAGCAAAGGCCCUGAGGCAAUAGCAUACUUGAUGUGUUCCACUAAGGAGGGCAAUGUUGUGCCUGGAGUGGAGUCAACAAGGAAGAGAUUAAGCUAGAGGCUGAGGUCAGAGAGAUGGGUGAGGUGGCCAGAUCAUAUGAGGCCUUGUAAAUCAAGAUAAGGACUUUCUUUGGCUUUUGAGUAAAAUGGGAAACUAUAGAGAUUUUUAAGCAGAGGAGUGACAUCAUCUGACUUCAAAGGAGUUUUUAUAGUGUGUUGUGGGCUUUUAUAGGCUCAGGCAAGAGGUGGAUAGGGUGGAUGGGGAAUAGAUCUUGUAGAGCUGAGUGUUCCAAUAUGGUGGCCUCUGGCCACAAGUGGCUACUUAAAUGUAAAUUAAUUAAAAUUUUAAAAAUUAAAAAUUCAUUUUAUCAAUUGCACUAGCCACAUUUCAAAUGCACAGUAGCCACAUGUAGCUAGUGGCUACUGUAUUGGACAGUGAGAUGUAGAUCAUUUCCAUUGCCACAGAAAGUUCUACUGGACAGUGCUGGUAGGGUAUUAAAGGUCUUUGUAGGGACUUCAACUUUUACUCUGAGUAAAUAGAAAGCCAUUGGAGGGUUUUAAGCAGAGGAGGAACAUGCUCUGACUUAUGAUUUCGAAAGAUCACUGUUGAGAAUAGACUGUAAGGGGGCAAUGGUGAAAGUUGAUAGACCAUUAAUAGUCUAGAUGAGAGAUGACCAUGUCUUCGAUGAGGGGGUAGGAGUGAUAAUGAUGAUAAAUUAUUGGAUUUUGGAUAUAUUUUGAAGGCAGAACCAAUAGGCUUUUCUGAUGAAAAUGAUGUGAUAUGAGAAAAUAAUGACAAAAAGGUUGUGGGUGAUGAUGAGAGAAGAGAAUACAAGGCCAAAGAGAAGGGAUUUCCCUUGUGGAGGAGGAGUCUCAUUCACCUUGAAGCAGGAGGGAAAGCAGGGAUCUGGGUGGAAAAAGAUCUAGAGAAUCCUCAUCUAAGCAGAAGAUGAAGGAGUAAAGAGAGAAAGAUGGGUGUAUUGGAAGCUUGCGGGUGAUGGAGAAAGUUUCAAAUAAUUCUUGGAAAAUAAGUUGAAAAAAGAAACGUAACACAGUUGUUAGAGCAGGGCAUGAUUGCUUGUGCCUAUAGUCCCAGCUACUUGGGAUCCUGAGGCAGGAGGAUCUCUUGAGCCCAGGAGAUGGAGGCUGCGUUGAGCUAUGUUUAUGCCACUGCACUCCAGCCUAAGCGACAGAGCAAGACUCCAUUUCUUAAAAAUAAAACAAAAAUGUAGUUGUUAGUAUUGAGGGCCCAUAAGAAGUUGGUGAUGAUGAACCUAUCUACGCUUUUGAUCACCUCCAGCAGAGUUUGACUGUUGCGUGCAAGCAAAGAGAAAGGAGAUGGUGGGGUUCAAUGAGGGCUGUCGUUUUCCUAGAUAGGUUUGUAGAAAAAACAGAGAGGAAGGGAGUUUAAGGGAUUGGCAAAAAGGAUAUAGUAAUAACAGACCAUGGAAUAAAAAUUGAGUAAGAAGGAAAGUGAAAACAGCUGAAGGCUAAUGAAUUGGGAGAAAGCAGAUGGAUCAAUAGACUGGAGGCCCCAGUAUUUCUAAGAGCAGUUGGAGUUGUUGUCAUGCAAGUUGGAAGGAAAGAUGCUUAUCCAAAAGCUGAAUGCCUGAAUCAGUAAUCUUGUGGCAGAGCUAUUGUAGGUGAUGACAAGGUCAGUCCUUUGAAGUCUAUGCAUAUAUAUCUUCAUUAUAGGCUGACUUGCCAAGUCUUAGAAUUUUUACAAUAUAACCUCACUGUGGAUCUCAUCUAAGCAGGUUUGGUAACCAAAAGCUCAAGAGCAUGAGAUUGAGACCCCAGAGAGCUCAUAGCCUGUCACAAAUCAGCUGUGUAACCACGGACCUUGAGGAAAUGAACCUUAUGGUCCCUUCCAUCUCUAAUCUGUGACUCCAUAGCCCCAUUAUAAUAUAGCCUUUUCCCAAACACUGACCUUCAACAUAGACCCUGGGGGAUUUUUCUAUUAAAAAUUUGCAACUCUGCACAUUUUUAUCUGCUGAUGCCUCUUGGAAUAUUAAAUGCUUAGAAAGCUGUCCUCGGGAUCACAUUCUGGAAUCUUGACCAUGUAGUCAUCUGAGUGGGUGUGACAGGAAGUAUACACCAGCAGCAUUUGUGUCUGAGUGUCCUUCAGACAAUGGGAUGGCUGCACCUUUACCCGUCCUCUCCAACUCUCUCCACCUAGAAAGUAUUCUUUUCUCUUAAUUUUGUUAGAGCUAUAUAGGAAUGCUCCUUCAGCAGAAAUGACAGAGGCUGUUGCUCUCAGAAUCAAAUGCAAUAAUGUGACCUGUAAAUUCCUGUGAAUAUUUGGAUAUUUUAGCGAUAUUUGUUUAUUCAGAAGAGAUUCUGGAUGCAGAACUCUCCUCCUCUCUGUUCUCUAACCCUGCUUUCCACCAUCAUUCUUCUCUCUCUAGGGCACAGAGAGAAUUAAGAACAACCUAAGGUAAAUUUUUAACAAGAUGGUCUAGCUUGAGCUCUGUAGGCUUGACUGAUGAAAUAAGUAGUAGUUUUUUGCUAAAAUAACCACAUUGUUUGCAAAAGUUUUCUCCUUCGAGUUUUCUAGGGUCAUUACAAUGAUCUAACUGCCUUACCUGCUUUUGAACUGGUUGAGCCUCCUGUGGGACCGAAAACAAAAGAAGGGUGUUGAAAUGCAAAUAGAUAACUCUGGGUCCCAGUCCCUGACUGCAAAAGGAAGCCAAAACUGACAACAAUGUCUCCUUCUCUACGGAGGUUUGUAGAAAGGCUGUACAAAAAUCUCACAAGAUGUAUUUCUUCUCGUGGACUGGAGUCCCAAGGUGCUUAAGAGCUCUUCAAUUUGUUAAUGGAAAGAAACACCGUUUACACCGGAUGGCUACAAAGCAACCUUAUUCUGAUCUUUUCUCAGAAUAGCAGUCUGUAGGCUGUCACCUAAAGUGUCCUGUUUUCAGUGCUGCACCUGCUCUGAGCUUCAGCUUUUUACGAAGACGUCAUGGUGUGCUAUCUGUACUGGGAAACUUUCCCCACCAUCAGCCAGCUCCUGAAGAUAACAUUGUCUGCUAGAGAUUGUCAUGUAUGUGGAUUGAAUCUCUUUAUCUUCAUGGUCCUCUUUCUGUGCCCCCAGCCCGGUUGACAAUGUGUGCCUUCACUCACCCAAUUAGAAACCUUGGAGGUAUCCUGUACUCUUCUGUCACUUACCCUCAGCCUAAAGCCAAUCAGUCACCAAAAUAUUGUCUGUCAUUAUCAUCAUCAUCAUCAUCAUCAUCAUCAUCACUAUCACCACUGAUGGAGUGAGAACCUUGUGCAGUUGAGCAUGAACCCCAAUUUCAUUUGCAAAAUGACCCAGACAGCAGAUUUCAUCUCAUAUAAAAUAAGCAAGGUGAGGUUUUGAUGACAUUACAGACAUGGCUAAGAAGAGGUUGAGAACCAGCAUUCAGCCCACCUGACUCCAAAGCUCAUGCCCCGAACCUCAGAAACUUCUCCAGUGAGCUCCUUUUUUUUAAUGGCAGGAUCACACCAUUAGUCUGGACUGGAUCCAACCUGGAUUGUUGCAACAGCCUUUGAUCUGAUCUGUCAAGCCCUGUGCCUUCUGUGCAACCCAUUCUCUACCCUGGCACGAGCAUUACUAAAAUACCAAUCUGGUCCUAUGACUCCUCUGCAUAAAAACCACGGCUGGGGCUGGUCAAGUGCAACAGUGUUUACAACUAAUUGAUCACAACCAGUUACAGAUAUCUUUGUUCCUUCUUUAGCCAAAAACAAACAGAAAAACAAAAAAACAAAACCCAAACAACAAAAACAAACACAAAAAACCCCCCAUUGUUGGUUCCCUUUUGCAUCUUUUGAAUUCUAAACUCCUCACAUAGCAUAAAAUCCCCUUCUGGGUCUUUCCCCAGCCUACACCCCACUUCCCCACCUGCCCCAUUCCCCCUGUUGUUCCUACCUCUGGCCUUACUUCAGCCCCAGGGUCCCCUGCUGGACAUGGCAGGCCCAGCACAUGCUGCCCUGGGCCCUUUCACUUUGCUUUGUGACAUAUUUUUCAUCCUUCAACCUUCAGCUCAUAAGCCAUAUUCUCUGUGAAGGCGUCCAGAGGGCCCGAGACAGCCCCUCCCACCUGUGUUCCUCAGAGCAUUCUGUGCCCAUAAUUAGGGUGAACACAUUUCUGAAUCAGCAGUGGAAAUGUUUCAGUUCAGACAGUUACGCAUGUGCCCCUGAAGGCAAUGGGACAGUUAAUAGAGCAAAGUCCAGAAGAAACUCUUGGAGAUGAUUCCUCUUUAUCUGUCUGCUACCCUGUAGAGGGGUGGGGAAGGUACUUCCAGGGUAGAGAGCUGUGGGUGGCCCUUGUAUCUCUUGGAGAUGAUUCCUCUUUGUCUGUCUGCUACCCUGUAGAGGGGUGGGGAAGUUACUUCCAGGGUAGAGAGCUGUGGGUGGUCCUUGUAUUUGCCCAUACCUGACACGAUGCCUAACUGUUGUUUGCUGAAUGUAUGAAGAUUAUGCCAGGCCUGAGAUUCUUUUGAACAUAACCAAAUGUCAUGUGUAAAUUUCUCCAAAUAACCAACCAACAAACCCAGCUCUUUAUAACAAUGGACAAUCCAGCAUGCGUAUUAGGACUGUUUAAGUCUCAGCUUUAUCACUAGAACAAUUCUCAUAGACACACUUCUUCAUCUGUAAAAUGGGGAUAAUGGUAGCUACUUACGGGAGUUGCAGUGAAGACUCUGUGAAUGAAUUGAAGGAAAUUAGCAGGCACAGAGUCUGGCAAAGAAGUCUUUGUUUCAGGCACAAAGAUAUGUGUAGCUCAUCACUAUAAACAGGAACUAGAAGGCAAGGUCAUGUUCUAGAAUAACUUUUAAAAGUUAGGAUAUUGUUGGGAAUUUUAAAAGGUAAGACAAUUAAAAAUAUGACUAAUAUUUGUCAGCUUUUUUUUUUUUUUUUUGAUAUGGAGUCUUGCUCUUUUACCCAGGCUGGAGUGAAGUGGCGCCAUCUCGGCUCACUACAGCCUCUGCCUCCCGGGUUUAAGCGAUUCUCCCUCCUCAGCCUCUUGAGUAGCUGGGAUUACAGGCACCCGCCAUCAUGCCCGGCUAAUUUUUGUAUUUUUAGUAGAGACUGGGGUUCACCGUGUUGUUCAGGCUGGUCUUGAACUCCUGACCUCAAGUGAUCCACCCACCUCGACCUCCCAAAGUGCUGGGAUUACAGGCUUGAGCCACUGCGCCUGGCCUCAUUUGUUAGCUUUAACAUAUGAAGAGACAUCCUCCUAAAUGUUAAAGUACUCUUUGACAUUUUACCCAUGCAUUUUACAGUUGGGCUGGGAGAGAUGUGACUUCCGGUUUGUUUUGCCUCACCUUUGCAUUUCAUCAGCUGUGUCUGAUCCCAGCCUAGCCUGUGUGUCGGAAUCACUUGGAUGAGUGUUUUACAGACUCCUGGGCUCUACCCCAAACCCACUGAAUCAGAAUGGGGACAGGAAGGGAACUGUAAAUCUACAUUUAUGAAAACCUCCCCUUGUGGUUUUGAUAGUCUGCAAGGUUUGGGAAUCACUAGUUCCCAAACACACCAGUAGAAAAGCAUAUAGUAAUUAACAUUCUCAAUUUCUCAGCUUUACAGUGUUUGUAAUUAAAAAAUUUUAUUUGCUUUUUUGUAAGCAAUAUUAGCUUUCUCAAUGUCUGUUUCACCUUCACUGCAGUCUGUUUAUCCAGCCUGGGAAAAAAACUGGCUCGACUUAAACAAUGAGACAAAAAAGGUGCAAACCUGGCAGCUUCCCUACCUUUUUUGCAUUAGCGUGUAGGUAUUUCCUCCAUGUCCUACCAGGGCCAUUUAAAUGCUAAUGUAGUUAAGUACAACAAUCUUUUUAGCAAUCAGAUGGAAUUGUUUUUACCACAAUCUUAUUUCUUAUUUCUCCAGUCCGUACUUUCCUUUUUUGGGGCAGGGUGGGGGUAGGGCUAGAGGGGCAUACAUUUAAAUUCUUUGACCUUUCAAACCUUAACAAAAAUUCUCUCUUAAUAUCUUCUCAGCAGUUCUUGCAAUGUGUCUAUCCUCUAAACCUGAGCUCUGCAAUUUGAAUGUGCUGAGUCACCUUGUCUUUGCAGGGUCAAACAUUUUGCAUCCAGGAAAAGUACUGCAGAAAAUCACACCAUUAGCAGCUAGCUGGUAUGUUAUUUGAAUAUUUGAAUACAAAUAGGAAGACUGGAAAGGAGAAAGUUACUGUGUACACAGAUACAUAGUAACUUACAUAUAUUUAAAACAACCUUUUUUUUUUUUUUCUAAUAGUCUGCUAAGUCCUCUUUCUGAUUGAUGACUUUUUUGUGUGUGAAAUUCUCUAAAUAUUUAUUUGUGUUCCUAGAAAGUGAAAAUGAAUAUAAAUGGUAAAGCAGUUGCCUUGCAAUGUUUAAUAAAAGGAGAAAAUAGU